Molecule: non-coding RNA, 78 nt
Organism: Methylobacterium nodulans ORS 2060
Lineage: Bacteria; Pseudomonadati; Pseudomonadota; Alphaproteobacteria; Hyphomicrobiales; Methylobacteriaceae
Source: Rfam
GAGCACUGCCCAUCGUGGGCGUUUCCUCCCUGACUGGCCCCCUCUCCCGGUGCGGAGAGGGGGGCUUUUUGGGGCCGC